Molecule: non-coding RNA, 3714 nt
Organism: Dermacentor albipictus
Lineage: Eukaryota; Metazoa; Arthropoda; Arachnida; Ixodida; Ixodidae
Source: RefSeq, a predicted model, not a curated record
CAGUUCUAACCCACAACGAAUAAAGAACAAAGUCAGUUACCACACCAUAAAUGCGAUACACAUCCUGUAUCAUACUUGGCCACCACGGAAGCAGACGAGCUGAUAGCAGCGCAUCCUUCUUUCCCCUAACCACUUCUGCGCAUGCGGCACCCUCUCACACGGAGAUAUAAAAGCAACCACAAUAAAGAGACAGCCAGUUUUUCGAUGCCCAACCACUGUGUGUGUCGACUUGCUCAGAGGCGCACGAUACAUGGUGUCAGAAGUGCCCACAGCCGCGCGGCAGGAAGCAAGCCAUGGACGCCUUAAAACUGCCCUGCCCACUACAGUUGACCGGUAAUGUCAGAAGGAACUGGGAACUCUUCAAGCAAAGACUGGACCUAUUCCUGACGGCUACCUCGACAGACCAUCCCAAGACAGAAGCAGUCAAGGCGGCCAUCCUCCUGAGCGCCGCGGGUGACGAAGCGCUUGAGGUCUAUAACAACUUCACAUUCGCCGAAGGUGAGCUCAAGGAUGACUACGAGACACUAGUGCGGAAGUUUGACGCAUACUUCAUUGAGCAAGGAAACGAGGUUUACGAACGCCAUUUGUUCCGUAUGCGAGUCCAGGAUGAAGGAGAGCGAUUCGAGCGGUUUGUACGUGACCUGAGGACACAAGCCAAGCUUUGUAAUUUCGGGACCCUUGAAGAGUCCCUGAUUAGGGACCAGAUUGUAUUCGGGACUAAUGACAAGACUGUCCGAGAGAAAAUGUUGCGGGACAAAACCUUGACUCUUCAAAAAGCCGAGAACAUAUGCAAAGCAGCUGAAGUGGCGGCACAACAAAAUGCUGCAUGGGUCAACGAGCGCGUGCAAGUAGACUCCACUCGCCGAUAUGAACGCGGCAAAGAACAAAAAGGCCGGUGCAAGCACUGUGGUCGAGCGCACGCGCCACGGCAAUGUCCAGCCUACGGAAAAACUUGCUACGCAUGUAAAAAGCAGAAUCACUUUUCAUCGUGCUGCAAGAACCCGCAAGUUCACGGCAUUGAGGAAGAUCGUGAAGACAGCUUUGAUGUCCUUGACGUCAGCAUCUGUGGCGUAAGCACAAAACCAGGGAAAGACUGGACAGUGCGUGGCAAGGUCUCUGGUCACGACAUAGAAUUGAAAGUCGAUACUGGUUCCCAAGCCAACUUGAUUCCGCUUAGCAUUUUUCAGCGCAUCUCGAAAGUGAACACGUUGCGCAAGAGCGCAGCAGUGCUGACUGCCUACAACGGCUCCGAGAUCAAGCAUCUCGGUGUCGCAACUAAACAUUGGCUUGAGUACAUGCAUCGAGUUCGGCAUUGUUCCAGCAAACAUCGACUCAGUCAGGCGAAGUGGAAGAGCAGGGCCAGAAACAGAAUUUGCACAUCUUUUUCAUGGAACGGGCUGCGUACAAAGAACGUACAAGAUGGUUCUGCGACCAGACGCGGUUCCAGUCGUACAACCUGCUCGGAAAGUACCUUUGGCACUGAAGCAACCAUUGCGUGACGAGCUGGCACGCAUGGAGAAGGCGUCCAUCAUCGUCAAAGUAGAAGAACCCACCGAAUGGGUAAGUCCUCUGGUUGUGGUAAGAAAAAAGAACGGCGCUCUCCGAGUAUGCAUGGACCCUAGAGAAGUAAACAAAAACAUAUUACGUGAGCACUACCCGAUGCCUACCCGCGAAGAUAUAGAAAGUGAGCUUUCAGGUGCUCGAUUUUUUUCGCGACUGGAUGCCAACUCUGGUUUUCAUCAGAUACCCCUUGAUGAAGCUACAUCGCGCGUCUGCACGUUCGCGACUCCCUUCGGGCGCUAUCGGUUCCUAAGGCUACCGUUCGGCAUUUCGUCUGCCAGUGAGGUCUUUCAAAAGACACUGACUGAGAUCUUUGAAAGUAUCCCAGGAGUACGCGUUUACGUCGACGACGUCCUCAUUUGGGGUGCUGACAAAACCCAGCAUGACCAACGUUUGCGUGCCGCGCUAGAAAAGGCAGAAAAAGCAGGGCUCACGUUUAAUCCUGAAAAAUGUGCGUUUGGUAUGAAGGAGAUAACAUUUUUAGGUGACAUAAUCAAUGAAGGCGGCGUGCGCCGAAGCCCCGAGUUGAUUGAAGGCAUCCGAGCCAUGCCCGCACCGGAAGACAAAAAUGCCGUGAGAAGAAUGAUGGGUGUCGUCAACUAUUUCCGAAAGUAUGUACCCAGCUUAAGCGAUAAAACGGUGUUGCUGCGAAGCCUCGUCAAGGACGAUACGGUUUUUGAGUGGACUACCGCCCAUCGGCGCGAGUGGCAAGACGUCUGCGAGGCAUUAACAUCGCCGCCGCUCCUGGCGUUUUUUGAUGAAACUAAAGAAACAAAGAUCUCGGCAGACGCAUCAGCCAUCGGCAUUGGCGCGUCGCUAUUGCAAAAACACCAGAAUGAAUGGCGCCCAGUGAUGUACGCCUCGCGAACGCUAACUGAUAGCGAAACGCGAUACUCGCAAAUCGAGAAAGAAACGCUUGGCAUAGUGUUCGCCUGCGAAAAAUUUCACCAGUUUACUUAUGGCCGCAAGAUCCUCAUAGAGACGGACCACCGACCGUUGUUGGCCAUCGCAAAAAAAUACAUCGGAGAAAUGCCACCCCGGCUACAGCGCUUCUUUGUUCGCCUUCUAAAAUACAAUUAUGACUUGCAGUUCGUUCCCGGAAAGGACCUGCUCCUGGCUGACAUGCUCUCCCGUGCGCCCUCCCUUUCACCAAACCCGGAAGCAAUGGAGGACAUCGAGGUCCACGCAGUUCGUCUAGUCUCGUGCAUGGUAACCCCAUCGACAAAACGUCGUCUUCAGGACGAGACACUAUCGGAUCCCUAUCUGAGUGCUGUAAUGCACCAACUGUCGCGUGGCACAACGGUUCAAGGGGAAUUACGUCCGUUUACGGCUGAGCUAUCUGUCAUUGACGGGAUACUACUGAAAGGAUGCAAAAUUGUCAUACCCAAGUCCAUGAGGAGCGAAAUGCUAACAAAGGGACGGCGCCUGCGCACCAACGUUCCGGAAUACAGCACUGAGCUGGGAUGCCCAAUAGUCAAGCAUCAACAGCGGGCCACGGGCAAAGCGCUGCAGCCUUUGCAACAAGGAGACACUGUACGCAUACUGGAUGACAACUGGUCACGUAAGGCAAGAGUGCUUCAAGAAGCGGCUCCCCGGUCGCACAUUGUGGAGACAGAGGAUGGAAGGCUUCUAAGGCGGAACAGACAACACCUGCUGCAAACGCGGGAAAAAUACCGCAGGGUAGACGAAGAUGACAACAGCAACGCUGAAAAUAGUAGCUUACAAAACGAAAGACAGGAGCCUCCAGAGCAAGGCCAAAGUGCACCCGGGUUAACUGGUCAUCCGCAAGCCAACAUACAGGUCUUCCCCAAAGUGGAGACAUCGGAAGCAGAGCCCCGCAGGUCGACCCGUCAGCGCAACAAGCCUCAACGGCUGCAAUACGAAGCGAAUUUCCGUCAAGUCUCCUAGCUUUUUUUUUUCUUACCUUGUGGUCAUAAAGUCUCUUUUUUUUUCUUUCGUUAAGGGAAAGGAGAUGUAUCAUACUUGGCCACCACGGAAGCAGACGAGCUGAUAGCAGCGCAUCCUUCUUUCCCCUAACCACUUCUGCGCAUGCGGCACCCUCUCACACGGAGAUAUAAAAGCAACCACAAUAAAGAGACAGCCAGUUUUUCGAUGCCCAACCACUGUGUGUGUCGACUUGCUCAGAGGCGCACG